AUUGAACGCUGGCGGCAGGCCUAACACAUGCAAGUCGAACGAGUGGCGGACGGGUGCGUAAUGUCUGGGAAACUGCCUGGUGGAGGGGGAUAACUACUGGAAACGGUAGCUAAUACCGCAUACCAUCAGAUGUGCCCAGAUGGGAUUAGCUUGUUGGUGGGGAAACGGCUCACCAAGGCGACGAUCCCUAGCUGGGCGGAGAGGAUGACCGUCCAGACUGGAACGGGGACACGGUCCCAAGUCCUACGGGAGGUAGCAGUGGGGAAUAUUGCAAAAGGGGCGCAAGCCUGAUGCAGCCAUGCCGCGGGUACGAAGAAGGCCUUCGGGUUGUAAAGGACUUUAAGCGGGGAGGCGUUACCCGCAGAAGAAGCACCGGCUAAAUCCGUGCCAGCAGCCGCGGUAAUAC
RNAcentral lists this ribosomal RNA (406 nucleotides) under uncultured bacterium. RNAcentral's name for it is "partial 16S ribosomal RNA". It matches the Rfam family "Bacterial small subunit ribosomal RNA", at positions 29 to 526 of the family's 1533-position model. The record is from RNAcentral.